UUGCCCUAGUAACGGCGAGUGAAGCGGCAACAGCUCAAAUUUGAAAUCUGGCGUCUUUGGCGUCCGAGUUGUAAUUUGCAGAGGGCGCUUUGGCAUUGGCAGCGGUCCAAGUUCCUUGGAACAGGACGUCACAGAGGGUGAGAAUCCCGUACGUGGUCGCUAGCCUUUACCGUGUAAAGCCCCUUCGACGAGUCGAGUUGUUUGGGAAUGCAGCUCUAAAUGGGAGGUAAAUUUCUUCUAAAGCUAAAUACUGGCCAGAGACCGAUAGCGCACAAGUAGAGUGAUCGAAAGAUGAAAAGCACUUUGGAAAGAGAGUUAAAAAGCACGUGAAAUUGUUGAAAGGGAAGCGCUUGCAGCCAGACUUGCCUGUAGUUGCUCAUCCGGGUUUUUACCCGGUGCACUCUUCUAUAGGCAGGCCAGCAUCAGUUUGGGCGGUUGGAUAAAGGUCUCUGUCAUGUACCUCUCUUCGGGGAGAACUUAUAGGGGAGACGACAUGCAACCAGCCUGGACUGAGGUCCGCGCAUCUGCUAGGAUGCUGGCGUAAUGGCUGUAAGCGGCCCGUCUUGAAACACGGACCAAGGAGUCUAACAUCUAUGCGAGUGUUUGGGUGUCAAGCCCGAGCGCGUAAUGAAAGUGAACGGAGGUGGGAACCCCUCGGGGUGCACCAUCGACCGAUCCUGAUGUCUUCGGAUGGAUUUGAGUAAGAGCAUAGCUGUUGGGACCCGAAAGAUGGUGAACUAUGCUUGAAUAGGGUGAAGCCAGAGGAAACUCUGGUGGAGGCUCGCAGCGGUUCUGACGUGCAAAUCGAUCGUCAAAUUUGGGCAUAGGGGCGAAAGACUAAUCGA
Molecule: ribosomal RNA, 845 nt
Filed under: Juxtiphoma eupyrena
Lineage: Eukaryota; Fungi; Ascomycota; Dothideomycetes; Pleosporales; Didymellaceae
Also listed under: 1 other name
Description: partial large subunit ribosomal RNA
Rfam family: Eukaryotic large subunit ribosomal RNA
Source: RNAcentral